UGCAAUGAUGCACCGGAGGGGAAUCGGGGUUCUUGUGCAGAGUUGGAGAGGCUUAAUUAAUUUACAUUACAUGCACUUCACGUAACGUUCCUAAGCAAUGUCUUUCGUGAGUGUUUUUUUUCCCCUUCCUCGAACUGUGACCUAAAAAUAGCAACAUAGUUUUGAUCGUGCGCCAGAAAUAGACAGACGGGUAUCGCUUGUAUAAAAAGGGAGGCGAUCCUGGGCAAACUUGGACGUGCCACUUUUAGGACAAGGAUGUGCCCUGCAUCAUGCAAGGGGAACCCUUCUCUGAUGAGCGCUCAAGGACGUCUUUCCCUCCGUUUUCUUGUGUGUCUGUGUGUUUUUGUUAAAGAGGAGUCGUUUACUAGAGGAGCAGCUGCGGAGGAGGAAGAGGAGAAGAGGAGAGGAAGGAGUGAAGUGAACGAGCUGUUGCUGCAGCAGAGACCAGGCGCAUCGCGUGGGGAAACCCGGGAGCUGUCCAGCAGCAAUGGAGGGAACAAUCACAAAAAGGACGUCCGUGACUUCUGUCCCCGGGUCGAACCUUCUUCCUCUGCUGCUGCUGCUGCUGCUGUUGGAGCCUCCAACUGUGCGCCGGAGGUAAAAGUUGGGACCCACACUUUUGGAUGUUUUCACCGAGGAGUGCACAGAUAGAAAGAGGGACACCGAUCGAUCUUCCCGACCUUCCUCUUCCUCCUCUUUGUCCUCUCCUGCUUCCUCAUCCCGAGAAAGGACCAGGUUUUUUGGACUCCAUGAAGACUACUGGUCCCGUUUAUUCCAGGAAAAAAGAGGACCAAAAUGAUGAUGGUGAGAGGAAAUAACCCAGAAUACUGCAAAACAGCAACUCAAAAUCUAGGGAAUGUCUAGGGAAGAUCAAGGGAAGGUAAAUGAGAAGAUCAAUAGAUGAGGUGGAUGAUGAUGUGACAGAAGACUGCUGCACAUGGAGGACACUCACAUUCAGGCGAUGACGAGAGAACUCAAAAAUAUACAUCAAGCCUAUACACUGCAGGGCUGUGAGGGGUCCACGUGAAGGUGGACUCACCAAACAUCCGAUAGGUCUGUGUGUGUGUGUGUGUGUGUGUGUUACAUUGAAACAACUGCCUGUAAUAUGACAAAAGUUUGUUGUUGUUGUUUUUUUUUUUUUUUUUUCAUUAAAAUGAAUGUAAAUUUUAGGUGCAAACAUUUGAGAUUACAAAAAUAUUUAUUGUUUAUAAAGUUUGUUUUGUGAAAAAGUACAUCAUGUAAAUUAAUUUUACCCUGUACAUUGUAAACUCUAAACGAGUGACUCACACAUUUAAUUUAAUUUAAUUUAAUUUAAUUUAAUUCUGUUUAAAAUUGUUGCACAACUUGCUGCUGCUGCUUCCUCUCGGUGCCACUUCGAUCCCUCCACUUGUGUCAGAGAAUACCAGCAGCUGCAUGAAGACUGUCUCCAUGUGGACUUAGUUUUAUACUCUGUGCUCUCUGCUGAGUACAUGACAGUCUUUGCUUUGUGUCACACAGCCUCGGUUUGUCAGAAAUCCAUGUUAACUUGGUGUGUGUGUGAGAGAGAGAAAGAAAGAGAGGGAGCCAGAGAGGGGGAGCAUGGCGGAGUCUUCAGGAAUGCUGCUGCUGCUGCUGCUGCAAACAGCGUCUGUGGGUCGGAGAGGGGAACAGAGCACACACACACACACACACUUGCAGCUGGAGUGUAAACAGUGGAUUUUGCUGCAACACUCUUUAUGUUUAUUUUUGACACAUUUUUAAAAACAAUCAGUGAAAUAAAACCCUGGAAAUCCA
Long non-coding RNA from Solea solea (common sole), 1773 nucleotides. RefSeq lists it as uncharacterized. Lineage: Eukaryota; Metazoa; Chordata; Actinopteri; Pleuronectiformes; Soleidae. The record is from RefSeq and is a predicted model, not a curated record. The transcript has 8 exons.